This is a long non-coding RNA of Chinchilla lanigera (long-tailed chinchilla), 161 nucleotides long. RefSeq lists it as uncharacterized. The record is from RefSeq and is a predicted model, not a curated record. The transcript is spliced from 2 exons. Lineage: Eukaryota; Metazoa; Chordata; Mammalia; Rodentia; Chinchillidae.
CUACUACACUUCCCAGCGCAGUCCUCCCUAUGUGAUAGGGAUGAUCUCAGCAGCUGGUAUCAGGGAAUGGAGGUUUUGUAAAUCCUGGGGCCUGCCAGAAGGUCUAGAACAACACCUUUCAUCAAAACGUUCAUUCUUAUUGUGACGAUGUAAUAAAGGAA